CCUACGGGGGGCUGCAGUGGGGAAUAUUGCGCAAUGAGCGAAAGCCUGACGCAGCGACGCAGCGUGAGGGAUGAAGGUCUUCGGAUCGUAAACCUCUGUCAGCAGGGAAGAACGGUCACUGUGCUAAUCAGCAGUGAAUUGACGGUACCUGCAAAGGAAGCACCGGCUAACUCCGUGCCAGCAGCCGCGGUAAUACGGAGGGUGUGAGCGUUAAUCGGAAUUACUGGGCGUAAAGCGCUCGUAGGCGGUAUGUGAAGUCAAGGGUGAAAUCCCCGCGCUCAACGUGGGCACUGACUUGGAUACUGGCAAACUGGAGUGUGUGAGAGGAUAGCGGAAUUCCAGGUGGAGGAGUGAAAUCCGUAGAUAUCUGGAGGAACAGCAGUGGCGAAGGCGACUAUCUGGCACAUAACUGACGCUGAGGAGCGAAAGCGUGGGUAGCAAACAGGAUUAGAUACCCGGGUAGUC
This 465-nucleotide ribosomal RNA is filed under the name uncultured bacterium. RNAcentral's name for it is "partial 16S ribosomal RNA". It matches the Rfam family "Bacterial small subunit ribosomal RNA", at positions 338 to 795 of the family's 1533-position model. The record is from RNAcentral.